AAUUGGUAUCUUGUCUGAAAGGUCACCUCCCUAUUCACCUCCGUGUUUGUUCAAUGUUGAAAAAAAUGGCAGAUUCUCCUUGUUCAAUUUAAUUUCUGUACCAUUUUCAAAGUCAAUUUUUCUCCUUAUUUAAAUACAUAGACUCAUGUCUCCUCUUCCGAUUUUUCUUAUUUGUUGCUUUAACUUCAAAUUUAUGGAUUAUAUUUGUAACAUCCUUAAUCACAUCUGUUAAUUGUACCAAAACCCCAUUAUAUUGUCUUCAAUCUUAAAUUGGUAAUAUUUUUUAUUUUGAAGUGAAAAACUAAGCUUAAAUAUGCAGUUUUCAUUAUGAAAUCAAAAUGGGUCUCUGUAUUUUGUUAAUUUUGCUCUAUUUACAAUGACCAUUUUCAGUAAAAGUUGUAUUCACUAACUCCAGAUGGUUAUUUAUUAGUUGACAUUAUGUAUGCUUUUAUCAUUUGUAGGUUGUUUGACUAAUUUGAAAUUGUUUAUUAUUGGAUAGCAGACUAAUGAUAGACAGAUUUCGAUCUAUGUAUUAUGUUCCUUAUAUUGUGGUAUUAGCAAUAUCGGAUAAGCCCUCUUCUUCCUUAUUUUUUCUAUCAUUUUUUGAUUUGAACAUGCAGAUGAGAUCUGAGCUAGAUGCAGCUGAAAAUGAUCAAUAUAAGUUGGAAUGACAUGGUUAAGUUACCAAAAAUUUGUGUGUAUAAGGAUUCUUCGGGUUUGUGUUGUGCUUUUCUAUUGUUGUAUAGAUGAAUCUAUGGCAAAUAUUAUGUAAUUUAUAUCUAACAUGGUGUAAUGUGCUGUUAUUUGGGGUUGUUUUCUUGUUAUUGUUGUGAUUGCCAUUGUUUUGAUUAGCUUGGUAAUAUCUUCAUGUUGAUUUAUUUUUAAAUGUGGAUUGAUUCUACUUUUGUCACAAAUGUUCAAUAAGUUAAACUAAAUUAAAAACAUUUGUUCAGCUAUUGUCAGAAGUUUGCCUUGGUUGAGAAAACCUGCACUUUUUGAGGAAACGUAGAAAAAUAUAGGUAUUCAAGCCAUUCUUGAUAGUUGUCUAUGUAUUGAAGACGUUUAAUACUCUAAUAACUAUAUUUAGUGACAGUAUGAUUAUGGGAGGAAUCUACAGUUUGAUUUAAAAAAAAAGGUCGUCCAGUUAAGAUCAAGUAUUUUGCUAAAGUUUAGGGUAGGUUCUUUCUCUUAUUUCGUCUGUUGAAGCAGCGACGAAGUUAAGAUUUGAAGUCUGUGGGUUCUAAAUUUAGGUAAUGCUCUACAGGUCAUGCUCGUACCGCUCAUCUCUUGUGUUGUAGGUUCGCACGCGAUCAAUUUAUAUGUUUCUUCUUGAUUUUUAAAGCUACUGGGUUCACCCGAACCCCGUAUAAAGUUGUAGCUCCCAUGGUUGAAGUAAUUAUAUAGUAAUAGUUAUGAAAAAUUUAUUAUUUUACAUGUAGAGGAAGAAGUAGAUAAGUUUUGCUUAAUGAUGCCUAAAAAGGAAAUUGAUUUUCUACCCAAUUGUUGAUAGCAAAAACAAUAGAAAGAAGAAGUUUUGCACUAUUUGCACGCCUCCAAAACUACUAUAUUCCCCUGGACUUGACAUACAUUUAGCUGUGAACAAAUUAUCAAAGUUUUGCACUAUUUGAUAUAUUUUGAUGUUGCAGUUUGACCAGAUCAGGUAUCAUGAAUAUUGCACUAUUCUCCCAUUUGGGCUUUGGUUUAUGUGUUUUGUUUUCUUAUCCAAAUUUAAUUUUUUUUUUCUACAGAUAUGUCUGGGAAAUGUUUCUUCGCCGGAAAACUGGUGAAAGGAUUUUGUGAAGAGGUCUAAUAUUUGUGGUUUAAUUUGGGCUCAUAUUAGUAAGUGGGGUUAUGUUAAGAAGUUUUUGGUCAAGCAAAGGCUGUACCUUCUACUGUAACUGAUUCUUUUCAGUUGUUAGCAUUUGCCUGCAUUUGCCUGCAGAUCGAGGAAAGGUUUUUGGUCAGCUGUCCGUUGAAGUUAUCUCCGAUUGCCUCAGGUGUUUUUGAGAGGUUUUCUAUAUUUACCGUACGAAAGCUAAUUUGCAUCCACCUUAAAUUUCUUCUAAAUUAGUGCCUCCGAUCCUUAGGCGGAAGAUCUCAAUCAGAUUCUCAUGGCUUAUUUUUCUGAAGGUCUAUAAUAUUUACAACAGUUCUCUCAAUUUGUUGAUUCCCGUGUCUUCUGAGGUAUUGAGACUCGUCUCUCUUAUCUGGGAGUCUGACUCGAUCUAUUUUAUGGGCAGAGAUCGGGUUGGACUCCCAUUUACAUUCUGCCUCUCGUCCUUAUCCUUGUCUUGCUUUUAGGCCUCGUUCUCAUCCUUAAGGGUGAUCCACCCUUAGUAUGUAAAUAGAUUCUACUGGUUAUGGAAUACACAUGGAUGGAGAAGACAUCGCACUGAAUACCAGCUGAUUUGGCACCGUAUUUAGUUCUAGACAUAGUAGUAAUUCUCUAGUAGUGGACAUAUUUUAGUGAUCUAGAAGAGAUCUAGAACAACAGAUUGACAUAACGACACAACUUCCAAUCCCCACAUACGAUGCUAAACUAUUUACCAGAAAAAUCAUCAUUUUGGUUAACAAAUUUAUACACCUAGUAAAUACAGAUAUCAUAUAAUAACUGCUUAAAAUGUGGUUUAGAAGAUAUUGAAUAUUUUGGGUACAAAACUUCCUAGAGCAUACAAAACUUUUGCUAGCAUAAUUACAACGAUAAUAAUAAGAAAUCCCCCUGCUUAGAGACAGAACUGACAUGUUCUCACCAGAAAGGGCAUACAUAUGUUUGCAAGAGGUUUUCCUUCUUUUUCUUUUGUUUGGAAGUCUUUUCUACAAAUGCUAUUAUUUUAAGUAUAUCUAAUUGAAAAAUUGAUAUAUUGAACGAUGAUGGAAUUUUUAGAUUAAAAAGAAAGGUAAUUAAUAGGAAUAUUAACUGCACUCUUUGAAAUUUCUUACUAAGCUUGUGCUUAAGCUCUAUGCCUUUAUCUUAGCGCGUGUUAGAUGCUCUUCUUAAGAUUCUUCCAAGAAAUGGUACACUGUGUAUUACUACCACUUGUUGAGCCUAUUGACUAAUUAAGCAAAAUAAAAUACAAUUUUACACUCUUCAUUAGGAAACUCUUUCAAAUUUCAACUAAUUCCUCCAUUUAUCUGAAUUAUGUAAGAAUAUGCAAAGACAGGGAGGAUCUAUAUAACUGAAUUUCAACAAUUGAUGAGCAUGCAACUCAGAUGCAUGUGUCUCUCAAUUAGUGAGCGAUGCUAGUGAAUCAUUUAUACGGGAAGAUGAUGCCACCCAAUUCUUGAAUGUCAUUCAUGCUGCAGAGGAUGCAGAUGUUUAUCAUGACUCAGUGAAGUAUUUGCUGAUGGUGAGGCAAAAGACCAAGGAGAAUAGCCCAAGGUUGACAGUGAAAUCAUUUAUGCCUAUGCCUUAUAUGUGGUUAUGAAGAUCAUAUUUGCACUAUUGAGAAUAAAACUGGUUGAAGGAUGCUACUCAUAUUAGUAAGUGGUAUUGCGAUAAGAAGAUUGUGGUGAAGCAAAGACUGAACCUCCUACUGUCACAAUUCCUCAUUUGAAGACCAUGGUUUCUGAUAUAUCUCCAACAUAAAUCGCCCCAUGUGCUGAAGCUUAUAAUUUUCAUAAUAUAGUUGAAAUAACAGUGCUUCAUGUAUGUUACAAUUGAGCAGCAAGUUCAGAACUUAUAAUUGGUUAAUGCGGAACUUCUGGUGCACCGGUUAGUUCAUAUUAAUGAAAUUGUUUAUUUCACAAGUGUUCAUAUUUUCUUUUAUCUAAAAUCUUAUAUUAAAGCUUGCUUCCUGUAUAAUUUUUUUCUAUUCAUAUAGACAUACUUAGCUAUAAUUUGAUAGUAAAAGCCUGUUGCCUGCAUUAUUCUUUUGUAUUAUAUUGACUGUGUGACAUCUAUAUUAUGUAAUAAAUGAUUGAAACUUGUGUUUGAAAUCAUAGAUAUAUAUAGAAUGUAAAUAUAUAUAUAUUUAUUUGUAAAUCACAGUGAAAUCUUCAUGAUUUCAUUUUAUGUUUGUGCAAACAUAAUUGUUUUCUAGUUUUUUUUUUCCUAAACUUAUUGCAUCUAGAAUAACACCACCCAUUAUCUAGGUUUAACAAUUUAGUUGUAGCAACAAUUCAACAAUGAGAACAUUCCUUUUUAAAGAUUGAAAAAAUAUGUUAGUGUAGGACUAUAGUAUUAGACAGAUAUAUUUGAAAAAAAAUAUGGUCUGAUAGGACUAUUGAUGUGUAACAGAUUUUGUUGUUGCAUUUGGGAAUAAAUUUGGGCAACUAAAAUAGAAAGAUAAAUUGUAAAAAAUUAGAGAGUGAAGAAUGAUAAAAAAGUGAAAAGUUAAACAUUGGAUGGAA
Molecule: long non-coding RNA, 4350 nt
Organism: Capsicum annuum
Lineage: Eukaryota; Viridiplantae; Streptophyta; Magnoliopsida; Solanales; Solanaceae
Exons: 4
Source: RefSeq, a predicted model, not a curated record